CCAGGUUGCCCAGGACAAGGCAUGUCCAACAUAUGCCUAUAAGACAAAUGUGAAAACAUCAAGUUACAGAAGCUAGAUGUGCAUUUACUACACUGGGAUUCAUGGUUCAGCGAAGACAAGCUAUUAGUUGGCUCAAGAAGGAGAGCUUCCUCGAUGUCAACAAUGCAAGAUUUGUGCUGCGGGCAAUUGGAGUAGAAUCAGCUUCCUGAGAGCCAAGUUCUUUGACUUCCCCUAGAAGGAAAGGGUAUGGAACCAAGCAUAUGGGAAGGCUCUCUAGGCCCUUUUACAUUAUUGGAUUUAGCUACGCUCACAUAAUGAAAUUGUUGAGAUUGUUUAAACCUUCUGCAGGGACUUCUGUUAGCAGAAAAGAAACUUGUACUAAAGCCAUAAGAAGAUUGUAUUAUAGAUAUAAUGGAAUCUUUUUUAUCUUUUGCCUGGUUUUCUGCACAGGACUGACAUAUUUUUCUGGGCAUGAAGCCAAAGGUCUAUUUAAUUUCUACUUAAAAUUUCCCAUGGCCACUAAUACUCUCCCCCUAGAUAGCUGCUUUAUAAAUGAAUAAAUAAAGACAAAGCCACUAGAAAGGUUGUGAAUCCUUGUAAGCUUUUUUUUUUUAAGGUGGCUAUUUUGCACUCCAAUAACAUCUAUAAAAAGCGUGUUCCUGAAUCUUUAGGACAAUGCUUCACUGCUAUCAAUCAAACUUCCGUAAAAUAUUGAACUUAUCUUUGUCCUAAGACCACAGCCAUGAUUAAAUAAGACUUGAAUAUAAAAAUGCAGGUUUACUUGCAUCAGAUGAGUUCUCGUGAACAUAUGAGGUUAUAUCACUCCUAUUUUUACUGCAUUUAGGAUUUUUGAGUGGUAAUAAUGUUUUUCAAUUUAAAACUGACUUAUUUUUAUUUUUCUAGGAGGUUUUUGCCAAUUAGGUGACAGGUUUUUUUUGUUUGUUGUUUUGUUUUUGUUUUUGUUUUUGAGAGAGAGAGAGAGCAAGAGUGAGAGAGAGAUUGAAGUCGGGGAGAGAACCCAGAUGUUAGAAACUGGCCCAAGCAGUCAGCUUCUCAUAAAGGACCAUCCUGACAGUUUGACUGUAAAAAAGGCACCCCAUUGAGCACUACAUGUUCCAGGAAAUGGCUGGCCACGGAAAACCUUCUGUUCCUAGCAUUCAUUUCCAGAAUGUCCCCAGACUGCUUGUUUGCUCCCUCCCAGCCAACAAAGGGCAGUCAAAUGUACCUGAAGAUCAAUUAGAAAGUCACCCUGGCUUCCAGAAAUCUCACCUUUAUAGAAC
RNAcentral lists this long non-coding RNA (1280 nucleotides) under Homo sapiens (human). RNAcentral's name for it is "HSALNT0055872". Lineage: Eukaryota; Metazoa; Chordata; Mammalia; Primates; Hominidae. The record is from RNAcentral.